This 377-nucleotide ribosomal RNA is filed under the name uncultured bacterium. RNAcentral describes it as "bacterial SSU rRNA". It matches the Rfam family "Bacterial small subunit ribosomal RNA", at positions 524 to 898 of the family's 1533-position model. The record is from RNAcentral.
UACGUAUGGGGCAAGCGUUAUCCGGAUUCAUUGGGCGUAAAGCGCGCGUAGGCGGCUUGUUAAGUCAGGCGUGAAAUCCGGGGGCUCAACCCGCGGCUUGCGUCUGAAACUGGCAGGCUUGAGUCUGGUAGAGGAAAGUGGAAUUCCUGGUGUAGCGGUGAAAUGCGCAGAUAUCAGGAGGAACACCAGUGGCGAAGGCGGCUUUCUGGGCCACGACUGACGCUGAGGCGCGAAAGCUAGGGGAGCGGGCAGGAUUAGAUACCCUGGUAGUCCUAGCCGUAAACGAUGGGCACUAGGUGUGGGGGGUCAUCGACUCCCUCCGUGCCGAAGCUAACGCAUUAAGUGCCCCGCCUGGGGAGUACGGCCGCAAGGCUAAA